RNAcentral lists this long non-coding RNA (1560 nucleotides) under Oryza brachyantha (malo sina). RNAcentral describes it as "long non-coding RNA (OBRA_LNC002590)". The record is from RNAcentral. Lineage: Eukaryota; Viridiplantae; Streptophyta; Magnoliopsida; Poales; Poaceae.
UCGGCAAUUGUAAGUUUGAUGUAUACAACAGUGUGCAUAAGGAUUGACAUUGCCCAUCCAGUCAGUACUAUGAACAUAUUUAUGGCUAACGAUGCAGGUGGCGCAGGUCCUGCCGCUAGCCCGCUGGGCUGGCUUGCGCCGCUAGCUGUCAUGCCCAGAAAUUCCUCACACGAAUUUCUGAACUUAAUUGUGUAUUAAAUCCCUGUCCAGGAUCAGCCAGGGUACACAAAAAGAUAAUGUUGAUUACAUAACCAUCGUUCUUAGAAACAACGGAAAAUUACACUUAUUCUAGCGGAAAUGCAGCGGAAAGAAAAAGGUAGACUAACACCAGCAGGGACGGCUCCAGUCCACAGGCAAAGCUUCGACGGCGGAACAGCUCACUCCUGAGAGGCACCUCCAUCGGACUCAACUUCCAACUCUGGGGGGAAGUUAAGCAAGGCUGAGUACAAACCACCGUACUCAACAAGUGACACGGACAAGAGAGCAAUAAAUGAUGCAUAGGGAUUAACAAAGGCAGGCAAGGGUUAGUUACAGUAAAGCAGCAGUUAAACAAAUUACAGAGAUUAAAAAGAAUACGAGUAAUUGAAUACAGUAAAGAAUAAGUAAAUAACAGUUGUAAAAUACCACAACACUGUCCAACGUUACACCACGUUACAACAGGCCCAACCACUACUCAACGUUACACCACGCUGCAGUAGUCCCAAGUGAUAACAGAUUUUACUCAAGUUAUUAGGGUUCACUAAUCACAGUGAAGCUGGGAGUUCGCCCGUAACCGUGGGCACGGCUAUUCGAAUAGUUUAUACUCUGAUCAGAGGUGUACUACUGUACCCACAAGACACGACUCCACUACACUUGAACGUGCGCCGACAUACCACCACGGCAUACCGGAAAGGAGACCGUGAUAGGACCCGUUACACAACCCUCCCUAUUUAAUCGUACCACACUUCAGGUUUCACCCCCUCCUUUACACCAAGUCGGGCAGUCCCCUCUUGUGCCUUGGUAGAUCCGGAAGCAGGAGAAGCUUUCGUUACACCACGAUUGCCCGUCCAUACUCCAUCACGCCUACCCUUGCCACGGUACGUCAAAUAGUUCGAAGUCAUGCUUCAAAUCCCACCUUACCCAUUUCGGCAUGUGGUUAGCACUUAAUUACUUCCAGGGUUUCCCGUGAACCGGUCCUUAAUCGCCAUGGGUGCGACUCUCAAAACCAUGCACCCACAGCCCACCAUUAUCAAUAUUUUAGUUGACAUUAACCCGAACCGGGUAGUGAAUCAUUAUCUCAGCUAUUCAGAACUAAGCAUGAUUAAAUGUGAUCCCAUGAGCUAUUUGUUCUAAGCAUGGCUAAGCAUUAACCUAGGCCUGACUCUAAUCAAGUUACCCCUGGUCCAGCAAUGAACAAAGUUGGAUAAACAACGGCAUAAUAAUAAGGUUUACCCGAAAAUAGCAUAAAGUAAGUACUUUAAUUAAAACAAUGCAUAUUUGAAAUAAUAAAGCGGGGAAUUUGCAAUAAUGGGUUCAAUAUGUUCAAGGAUGAGUGUCACUUGCCUUGCUCUGGCCCUUGGG